CCUACGGGUGACAGCAGUGAGGAAUAUUGGUCAAUGGCCGGAAGUCUGAACCAGCCAAGCCGCGUGCAGGAAGACUGCUCUAUGAGUUGUAAACUGCUUUUGUACAAGGGUAAACCUGAAUACGUGUAUUCAGCUGAAAGUACUGUACGAAUAAGGAUCGGCUAACUCCGUGCCAGCAGCCGCGGUAAUACGGAGGAUCCAAGCGUUAUCCGGAUUUAUUGGGUUUAAAGGGUGCGUAGGCGGAUUUAUAAGUUAGGGGUUAAAUGUCCGAGCUUAACUCGGGAACUGCCUCUAAUACUGUUGAUCUAGAGAGUAGAUGAGGUAGGCGGAAUGAAUGGAGUAGCGGUGAAAUGCUUAGAGAUCACACAGAACACCGAUAGCGAAGGCAGCUUACCAGUCUACAUCUGACGUUGAGGCACGAAAGCGUGGGGAGCAAACAGGAUUAGAUACCCCAGUAGUC
Molecule: ribosomal RNA, 460 nt
Filed under: uncultured bacterium
Lineage: Bacteria
Description: partial 16S ribosomal RNA
Rfam family: Bacterial small subunit ribosomal RNA
Source: RNAcentral